RNAcentral lists this long non-coding RNA (1347 nucleotides) under Fukomys damarensis (Damara mole-rat). Its description in RNAcentral is "lncRNA (ENSFDAG00000026574.1)". The record is from RNAcentral. Lineage: Eukaryota; Metazoa; Chordata; Mammalia; Rodentia; Bathyergidae.
CAAUCAAGCUCAUGACAUCUUUGAGGCUUUCUUCUUCUAGUUUUGGUCCUUCUCUCGAAGUUGCUUUUCCUGUUGAUUUCUUAGUCUUUGUUGACAAAGAGGCUUAAAGCAGCACCCUCAGGUAUGUGGUUUGUUGUGUGUGGUGUGAGGGUGGUAUGUAUAUUAUGCUGUGUGUGGUAUUAUAUGUAGAGUGUAUGUGGGUGUGAAGUGUGUGUGUGUGUGUGUGUGUGUGAGACUCAGCUGUAUGUGUCUCCUGUGGAUCACCUGGGGAUGCAGGACAUGGGAGAAGGAGGGAAGGGUAAAUUGUCUGCAUUAGGCUCUGUUGGAUGAUGAGCUUUAAUGGGCUUUGUGCCUUGUGCAUUGCAGGGUAAAGAGAGUCCUCAGCAUGGUUCUCUUUUGCAGCUGCCUGCCCCUUACACCAAGGUGGAGUGAUAAUGAGGGUGGUCACUGGCGGCCAAGGGUCUCCUUGAAGCAGCUGAGUCAGAGUUAGAGCCCCAGCAACCUAAGUCUACCUCUCCGCCCUCACCAGUGGACCCACUUCCAGGCCACGUAGGUGUAUCUGUUUGGUGAUGUGAGAGUUCCAUGAGCAGGGUUGAUGACAAGGAUGGUCAUGAAAGGAAUGGUCUCAAGGUCACACAAGUCCGCUUGGGGCCAGUCAAGCUGCCUUUUCAAGUUGCCUUCAUUUUCCCACCAGGACAUGGCCAGCUGAGGUCCUACUCCCAGGAAAUCCCAUCCCUCUAGUCUUUUUACUGAGAAAGCUAAUUUGCACUCAACCUCACACAGAUCAGCAGUGAUGGGGCUGAGCACCCUUGGCCUCACCCAGUCAUUAAGCAGCUGCAAUGGAGGGGGCAAGGAUGCUGGUUGCUAUGGUUUGGAUUUGAAAUGUCUCCUCAAACUCACGUAAAGACUGGGUUGCCAUCUGAUGGAAUUUGGGGGAAGUGACUGAAUUAUGAGGGCUCUAAUUUCAUCAAGUGAAUCAAUCCGCUGAUGGGAAUUCAAAGUGAUAGCAUUCCUGGGGAGGUGACAGUACCAGGAAGUGGAGGCUAAUUGAAGGAAAUGGGUCAUAGAGUCACAGUCUUGGGGAACAUCUCAGGUCGCUGCCCCUUCCUCACUGGCUCUCUUUGCCUCUCUGCUUCCCGGCUGUGAUGAGAUAAGUGGAUUUGCCCUCCUGUACCCUUGUUUCUGCCUCCACAAAGGCCUAAAAGCAAUGGAAACAGCCGACAGUGGACUGAAAUCUUUGAAACCCCAUGAGAUCAAAUAAACCUUGUUUUCUUUAAGUUGCUUUUCUCUGGUAUUUUGUCACAGUAAUGGAAAGCUGACCAACACACACAUUCAGCUGUGGACCCC